This is a long non-coding RNA of Octopus sinensis (East Asian common octopus), 153 nucleotides long. RefSeq lists it as uncharacterized. The record is from RefSeq and is a predicted model, not a curated record. The transcript has 3 exons. Lineage: Eukaryota; Metazoa; Mollusca; Cephalopoda; Octopoda; Octopodidae.
UCUUAUCCUCUGUCAGAUUGCUGAAGGCAUGCUGCCCAACCGGGUGUUCACUAAUAAAAACAAAUUUGACAUCGAACAGACAGUAAACCAUCAGAAUGAUCGACUUUUGGAAUGUAUCUGGCUCCGUUGAGAGUAGAUACAUAAAAAUUCACA